UAAAAUUCCUCAGGAUUGGGUCUUCAAGGUGCUGAUUCCAAAGGAAUUUACACAUGAGGUCCGACCUCUGGAAAAAAUCCACAGGAUUGGCUAUGUCAUGGCAAUCAAAUCCUCCAUUUUUCCUAUUCCUUUGUUUUGCAAAUCCUGUGAUCCAAAGAAGCCCACGUCUUCGUCUUCGAUUCCCCAAUCCCCACUUCCCCAUCUCCCGUCUCCUCCACCCAAAAAUCCUCCUAAAUUGCCAGUCUGCGCACCUGCCGGCGGAACCCUAGCUCUGGAGCGACUGCCAGAUCAGGACGGCUGAAUCGGCGGCUCCUUCCCCGGCGCCGCACUUCGGAGGCUUGCGCUGCCCGGCGCGUCCCCCACCCGCAUCUUUCACCUUCAGGAUUCACGCCGCUCCGACCCGAGGGCUUUGGAGGCUUGCUGUUGCUGCCCUCCUCUUCACCGCUGUGCGUGCACACGAGUCUGAUAUGCUUGUUCCAGUUUAGUGCAGCCACCCCCUAUUAAUUCCAUUUUCUCUGAUGCACGGUGGUCGGACGGUAGUCACCUCUACCUUCUGUCGCAGCGUAUCCAGGCAUCAAGCACUCUAUGGAAGCAUCCAAUCUCGCCGCUCUGCCAACUUCGCCUGAACGCUGACUGCCAAUGCUCCAUAUACCGUCAUACAAUCUUGCCAUUCUACCUACUUCGCCGGAACACCGA
Molecule: long non-coding RNA, 696 nt
Organism: Triticum dicoccoides
Lineage: Eukaryota; Viridiplantae; Streptophyta; Magnoliopsida; Poales; Poaceae
Exons: 3
Source: RefSeq, a predicted model, not a curated record